UACGUAGGGAGCAAGCGUUGUCCGGAAUCAUUGGGCGUAAAGCGCGCGUAGGUGGCCCCAUAAGUCCGCUGUGAAAGUCAAAGGCUCAACCUUUGAAAGCCGGUGGAAACUGUGGGACUAGAGUACGGAAGAGGCGAGUGGAAUUCCUGGUGUAGCGGUGGAAUGCGCAGAUAUCAGGAGGAACACCAAUAGCGAAGGCAGCUCGCUGGGACGUACUGACACUGAGGCGCGAAAGCGUGGGGGAGCGAACAGG
Molecule: ribosomal RNA, 253 nt
Filed under: uncultured bacterium
Lineage: Bacteria
Description: partial 16S ribosomal RNA
Rfam family: Bacterial small subunit ribosomal RNA
Source: RNAcentral